RNAcentral lists this long non-coding RNA (323 nucleotides) under Panax ginseng (ginseng). RNAcentral's name for it is "long non-coding RNA (PGIN_LNC003982)". Lineage: Eukaryota; Viridiplantae; Streptophyta; Magnoliopsida; Apiales; Araliaceae. The record is from RNAcentral.
UCGGUUCGACUCAUUUAUACCCUUACAGCCUGAUUGACCAACAAGUUCAAGUUCUACAAUAUUCUCCAAUGGCCUACGUACCCUGCCUGCAAUCACUCUGCAUACCAUCAAAGCCUUCCUCAAAAUGGUACUACUGUUACUAUCAACAACUUGAAUUGACUCAAAUGCACUUUCACUAGUAGAAGUUGUAAAAACACCGAUACGAUCAUUAAGUUCCUUAUCGAUGGAGAUGAACCCAUGUCUUAGAAUUCGACAAGUAUUGCAUUUAUCGGAUGAACACAAGCUAGAGGAGCCAUUGAUGCCUAGAGAGCAUUCAAUAGUUG